GGUUGUGGCUCAGUGGUAGAGUGCACACCUACCAUGUGCAAGGUCCUGGGUUCGAUCCUCAACAUCA
This 67-nucleotide transfer RNA is filed under the name Marmota monax (woodchuck). RNAcentral's name for it is "tRNA.Gly". Lineage: Eukaryota; Metazoa; Chordata; Mammalia; Rodentia; Sciuridae. The record is from RNAcentral.